UACGGAGGGUGCAAGCGUUAUCCGGAAUCACUGGGUUUAAAGGGUCCGUAGGCGGUUUAAUAAGUCAGUGGUGAAAGCCCAUCGCUCAACGGUGGAACGGCCAUUGAUACUGUUAAACUUGAAUUAUUAGGAAGUAACAAGAAUAUGUAGUGUAGCGGUGAAAUGCUUAGAGAUUACAUGGAAUACCAAUUGCGAAGGCAGGUUACUACUAAUGGAUUGACGCUGAUGGACGAAAGCGUGGGUAGCGAACAGG
Molecule: ribosomal RNA, 253 nt
Filed under: uncultured bacterium
Lineage: Bacteria
Description: partial 16S ribosomal RNA
Rfam family: Bacterial small subunit ribosomal RNA
Source: RNAcentral